This 307-nucleotide unclassified non-coding RNA is filed under the name plant metagenome. RNAcentral's name for it is "partial contains 5.8S ribosomal RNA, internal transcribed spacer 2, and large subunit ribosomal RNA". The stretch from base 1 to 105 matches the Rfam family "5.8S ribosomal RNA", at positions 50 to 154 of the family's 154-position model. The record is from RNAcentral.
GAAAUGCGAUAAGUAGUGUGAAUUGCAGAAUUCAGUGAAUCAUCGAAUCUUUGAACGCACAUUGCGCCCCUCGGCAUUCCGUGGGGCAUGCCUGUUCGAGCGUCAUCUACACCCUCAAGCUCUGCUUGGUGUUGGGCGUCUGUCCCGCCUCCGCGCGCGGACUCGCCCCAAAUGCAUUGGCAGCGGUUCCUUGCCCCCCUCUUUGCGCAGCACAUUGCCAUUCGAGGCGGCGGCGGCCCGCGUCCAACAAGCUCAACCCCCCCGUCUUUGACCUCGGAUCAGGUAGGGAUACCCGAUGAACUUAAGC